Molecule: ribosomal RNA, 253 nt
Filed under: uncultured bacterium
Lineage: Bacteria
Description: partial 16S ribosomal RNA
Rfam family: Bacterial small subunit ribosomal RNA
Source: RNAcentral
UACGGAGGGAGCUAGCGUUGUUCGGAAUUACUGGGCUUAAAGCGCGCGUAGGCGGCUUUGUAAGUUAGAGGUGAAAGCCCGGGGCUCAACUCCGGAAUUGCCUUUAAGACUGCAUCGCUAGAAUCCGGGAGAGGUGAGUGGAAUUCCGAGUGUAGAGGUGAAAUUCGUAGAUAUUCGGAAGAACACCAGUGGCGAAGGCGGCUCACUGGACCGGUAUUGACGCUGAGGUGCGAAAGCGUGGGGAGCAAACAGG